RNAcentral lists this ribosomal RNA (876 nucleotides) under uncultured microorganism. RNAcentral describes it as "bacterial SSU rRNA". It matches the Rfam family "Bacterial small subunit ribosomal RNA", at positions 28 to 896 of the family's 1533-position model. The record is from RNAcentral.
AUUGAACGCUGGCGGCAUGCCUUACACAUGCAAGUCGAACGGCAGCACGGGAGCAAUCCUGGUGGCGAGUGGCGAACGGGUGAGUAAUAUAUCGGAACGUGCCCAAUCGUGGGGGAUAACGCAGCGAAAGCUGUGCUAAUACCGCAUACGAUCUACGGAUGAAAGCGGGGGACUCAGCAAUGAGCCUCGCGCGAAUGGAGCGGCCGAUAUCAGAUUAGCUAGUUGGUGGGGUAAAAGCCCACCAAGGCGACGAUCUGUAGCUGGUCUGAGAGGACGACCAGCCACACUGGAACUGAGACACGGUCCAGACUCCUACGGGAGGCAGCAGUGGGGAAUUUUGGACAAUGGGCGCAAGCCUGAUCCAGCAAUGCCGCGUGCAGGAUGAAGGCCUUCGGGUUGUAAACUGCUUUUGUACGGAACGAAAAGACUCCUUCUAAUAAAGGGGGUUCAUGACGGUACCGUAAGAAUAAGCACCGGCUAACUACGUGCCAGCAGCCGCGGUAAUACGUAGGGUGCGAGCGUUAAUCGGAAUUACUGGGCGUAAAGCGUGCGCAGGCGGUGAUGUAAGACAGAUGUGAAAUCCCCGGGCUCAACCUGGGACCUGCAUUUGUGACUGCAUCGCUAGAGUACGGUAGAGGGGGAUGGAAUUCCGCGUGUAGCAGUGAAAUGCGUAGAUAUGCGGAGGAACACCGAUGGCGAAGGCAAUCCCCUGGACCUGUACUGACGCUCAUGCACGAAAGCGUGGGGAGCAAACAGGAUUAGAUACCCUGGUAGUCCACGCCCUAAACGAUGUCAACUGGUUGUUGGGUCUUUGCUGACUCAGUAACGAAGCUAACGCGUGAAGUUGACCGCCUGGGGAGUACGGCCGCAAGGUUG